Molecule: ribosomal RNA, 253 nt
Filed under: uncultured bacterium
Lineage: Bacteria
Description: partial 16S ribosomal RNA
Rfam family: Bacterial small subunit ribosomal RNA
Source: RNAcentral
UACAGAGGUCCCAAGCGUUGUUCGGAUUCACUGGGCGUAAAGGGCGCGUAGGCGGCUUGGCAAGUGGAAGGUGAAAUCCCUCGGCUUAACCGAGGAACUGCCCUCCAAACUGCUUCGCUUGAGACCGGGAGAGGUGAGUGGAAUUCCCAGUGUAGCGGUGAAAUGCGUAGAUAUUGGGAGGAACACCAGUGGCGAAGGCGGCUCACUGGACCGGUACUGACGCUGAUGCGCGAAAGCGUGGGGAGCAAACAGG